UGGGGAAUAUUGCACAAUGGGGGGAACCCUGAUGCAGCCAUGCCGCGUGAAUGAAGAAGGCCUUCGGGUUGUAAAGUUCUUUCGGUGACGAGGAAGGUUGAUAGGUUAAUAGCCUAUCAAAUUGACGUUAAUCACAGAAGAAGCACCGGCUAACCCCGUGCCAGCAGCCGCGGUAAUACGGGGGGUGCGAGCGUUAAUCGGAAUAACUGGGCGUAAAGGGCACGCAGGCGGUGACUUAAGUGAGAUGUGAAAGCCCCGAGCUUAACUUGGGAAUUGCAUUUCAUACUGGGUCGCUAGAGUACUUUAGGGAGGGGUAGAAUUCCACGUGUAGCGGUGAAAUGCGUAGAGAUGUGGAGGAAUACCGAAGGCGAAGGCAGCCCCUUGGGAAUGUACUGACGCUCAUGUGCGAAAGCGUGGGGAGCAAACAGGAUUAGAUACCCUGGUAGUCCACGCUGUAAACGAUGUCGAUUUGGGGAUUGGGCUUUGAGCUUGGUGCCCGUAGCUAACGUGAUAAAUCGACCGCCUGGGGAGUACGGCCGCAAGGUUA
Molecule: ribosomal RNA, 547 nt
Filed under: uncultured bacterium
Lineage: Bacteria
Description: bacterial SSU rRNA
Rfam family: Bacterial small subunit ribosomal RNA
Source: RNAcentral